Molecule: ribosomal RNA, 191 nt
Filed under: uncultured Anoxybacillus sp.
Lineage: Bacteria; Bacillati; Bacillota; Bacilli; Caryophanales; Anoxybacillaceae
Description: partial 16S ribosomal RNA
Rfam family: Bacterial small subunit ribosomal RNA
Source: RNAcentral
CAUCAUGCCCCUUAUGACCUGGGCUACACACGUGCUACAAUGGGCGGUACAAAGGGUCGCGAACCCGCGAGGGGAGCCAAUCCCAAAAAGCCGCUCUCAGUUCGGAUUGCAGGCUGCAACUCGCCUGCAUGAAGCCGGAAUCGCUAGUAAUCGCGGAUCAGCAUGCCGCGGUGAAUACGUUCCCGGGCCUU